AGUGUGCGUCGUUGCGACGGGCGCGCGCGCGUAAGCGCGUAUGUGUGUGCAUGCGUGUCGGCCAAUCGUGACUCAAGUAGCAACGGCGUUCAACCAAUGGCAGCAGGCGGCUGUACUCUCGCGAGUGCGCGCCAUCGUCAUCGCCGGAUGCGGCCGUCGUGCGACGAAUGGUGGGGAUGAAGACUGAGAGUGCGGUAAGGGCUACGCGCUCGAGCGCAUUCUCGUUCGUCGUAGCUCGCUCUCGGAUUCGGUCGUGUUUCGCGUCAGUCUCGAUCUGUACGAAGUUCGUUCGGCGCCUCACGUUCUCACGAAUGAUCAUUUCGCGUGCGAUCGACUCCACCUGUCGUUUUGCCCGUCCGCGACAGAGAACUGACAGAAAAAAGAUAUCUACAGUUUUUCUUUUGAGUUUUCUGAAAUCUCCCGCUUUUUGAAGAUUUAAAAGAAAAAGUGCGGAUAUUAAUAGUUCUCUGGAUUCUUCGUAAAAGGCUUCAAGGAAAUCACUAAAAACAUAAUCAAGAUUGAGUCUGAUAUAUGCUCAAGAACGACUUCUAAAAGUUAAAUCUGCCUUAUCGUAAUAACAAGCAGGAUCUAUAAGUCAAGUACUUUUACUUGCCUAAUAUCAAGAGGAUGGAAUUAAUCGUUUUCAAAUAACGAUCAAGUUUGUUCAGGUUACGAGGAGAAUCUAUUAUAACAUAAUUAAGGAAAAAAAAUUAAAUUUAAAUUCAGAAAAAAGGGGAACUAGGAGAAAGCCAAAAAGGUAAUAAUUUGUGCUGCAAAGGUACGAAUAUCUAUUUUAAAAGAAGAGGAACCUACAGAAAUCACAGGCGCCGCCUAUACGAGCACUGCUGCACGAAUCGCAAAUUUUGCGUGCGUGGCGUGACCGAAGCGGGACAAGCAUUGGCUUAAAUCGUGCUGAUUACGCGGUCGACAUCGUGCGUAUUUUUGGAUUUGAUUUUUCCCUGUGUAAGUCUUUUGAAAAUGUUGUCAAGUCGACGCCAAUGGGACGCGGAUGACAUCAUUGCGAAACGGUUGGCUCGUGGGGCAAAGAGACAGCGGUAAAGACCGUGGAUCAUUGAAAGGGGAAGCAGGAGGAGGUAGAGGCGAAGUAUAUGAUGCUAGAGAAGAGCAGAGAUGACAGAGAUGAAACGAAUAGGAAGAGAAGACACAUGUGAAGGAUGCAAAGAAGCAAUGAGCGAGAAA
Molecule: long non-coding RNA, 1200 nt
Organism: Pogonomyrmex barbatus (red harvester ant)
Lineage: Eukaryota; Metazoa; Arthropoda; Insecta; Hymenoptera; Formicidae
Source: RefSeq, a predicted model, not a curated record